RNAcentral lists this microRNA precursor (83 nucleotides) under Mus musculus (house mouse). RNAcentral's name for it is "predicted gene, 56196 (ENSMUSG00002075456.1)". Lineage: Eukaryota; Metazoa; Chordata; Mammalia; Rodentia; Muridae. The record is from RNAcentral.
CAUAUGCCACGGUGUGUAGACCCAUAUGCCAUGGUGUGUAGACCCAUAUGCCAUGGUGUGUAGACUCAUAUGCCAUGGUGUGU